Molecule: long non-coding RNA, 618 nt
Organism: Solea solea (common sole)
Lineage: Eukaryota; Metazoa; Chordata; Actinopteri; Pleuronectiformes; Soleidae
Exons: 7
Source: RefSeq, a predicted model, not a curated record
GUGAAGGUGAGUUUCAGUUAUGCUUGUGUGCUCCUUCUCUCACCUUUUCCCUCAUAUGUCACAGACAGACAAACAUGCACUGGCUGUUGUUGACAGACUGACACUGAAAAUCUUGGAUGUUAAAUGUAAAGUCUUGAAGCUAAACCUUCAACGACCACAGCAGGAAUCUGAAAAGUCAUGGAAAUGGACAAAGACGGAAUUUUCCUUUUUCAAAUUUUUGUGGAAUCACUUCCACUGAAGGACAGCAGAGGACUUCUCAACAAUACAGGUGCUACCAUGGCCAGAGGCUGUGUCUUCUCCGGUGCAGGAUACCGGGUUGAAUGGAGAAGUGGAUGACGGUGUAACUCAGCUCUCUGUGCAGUGUGUCACCGACCCUACCGGACUGAAUGGAAGAGUAGUGUAUGAUGGCGAGGAAUACAGCCUCCGUCCUGUUCAGCAUGUCACCAACCCUUCUGAAUUAGACGAAGUCAUUGUUGAUGAAGGAGAUCACAACCUCCGUCCUUCAAGACCUCAAGCCUCGUCUUUGGCUCGUUCUGGGACUCGCAGAGCAAGUGCACCAUGGUGGGAGGCACUCAAUCCUAUGCUCGUGGUGCAAUGGCUGCUGCAGUGGCUGCUGCA